Molecule: ribosomal RNA, 200 nt
Filed under: uncultured bacterium
Lineage: Bacteria
Description: partial 16S ribosomal RNA
Rfam family: Bacterial small subunit ribosomal RNA
Source: RNAcentral
AUUGAACGCUGGCGGCGUGCCUAACACAUGCAAGUCGAGCGGUAACAGGCGUAGCAAUACGUGCUGACGAGCGGCGAACGGGUGAGUAAUGCUUCGGAAUCUGCCCAGUAGUGGGGAAUAACCAUCCGAAAGGAUGGCUAAUACCGCAUGCGUCCUACGGGAGAAAGCGGGGGAUCGUAAGACCUCGCGCUACUGGAUGA